This 305-nucleotide ribosomal RNA is filed under the name uncultured bacterium. RNAcentral's name for it is "bacterial SSU rRNA". It matches the Rfam family "Bacterial small subunit ribosomal RNA", at positions 335 to 657 of the family's 1533-position model. The record is from RNAcentral.
UUUCCUACGGGAGGCAGCAGUAGGGAAUAUUGCACAAUGGGGGAAACCCUGAUGCAGCGACGCCGCGUGAAGGAUGAAGUAUUUCGGUAUGUAAACUUCUAUCAGCAAGGAAGAAAAUGACGGUACUUGACUAAGAAGCCCCGGCUAAAUACGUGCCAGCAGCCGCGGUAAUACGUAGGGGGCGAGCGUUAUCCGGAUUUACUGGGUGUAAAGGGAGCGUAGACGGUUCUGCAAGUCUGAAGUGAAAGCCCGUGGCUUAACCGCGGAACGGCUUUGGAAACUGUGGAACUGGAGUGCUGGAGAGG